RNAcentral lists this ribosomal RNA (464 nucleotides) under Vreelandella stevensii. RNAcentral's name for it is "partial 16S ribosomal RNA". It matches the Rfam family "Bacterial small subunit ribosomal RNA", at positions 338 to 795 of the family's 1533-position model. The record is from RNAcentral. Lineage: Bacteria; Pseudomonadati; Pseudomonadota; Gammaproteobacteria; Oceanospirillales; Halomonadaceae.
CCUACGGUGGCUGCCGUGGGGAAUAUUGGACAAUGGGCGAAAGCCUGAUCCAGCCAUGCCGCGUGUGUGAAGAAGGCCUUCGGGUUGUAAAGCACUUUCAGUGGGGAAGAAAGCCUUGGGGCUAAUACCCUCGAGGAAGGACAUCACCCACAGAAGAAGCACCGGCUAACUCCGUGCCAGCAGCCGCGGUAAUACGGAGGGUGCGAGCGUUAAUCGGAAUUACUGGGCGUAAAGCGCGCGUAGGCGGUCUGAUAAGCCGGUUGUGAAAGCCCCGGGCUCAACCUGGGAACGGCAUCCGGAACUGUCAGGCUAGAGUGCAGGAGAGGAAGGUAGAAUUCCCGGUGUAGCGGUGAAAUGCGUAGAGAUCGGGAGGAAUACCAGUGGCGAAGGCGGCCUUCUGGACUGACACUGACGCUGAGGUGCGAAAGCGUGGGUAGCAAACAGGAUUAGAUACCCCAGUAGUC